ACGAACGCUGGCGGCGUGCUUAACACAUGCCAGUCGAACGAUGAGGAAGAGAAACGCGAACUUCGGUUCAAAUUUCACUUCGGAUUGUGGCCGAACGGGGAGGAAACGGGUAACAAACCAACCUCUUACAAGGGGAAAGCUUCGGGAAACGGGAAUAAAUCCCAAAUAAACAAUUAUUAAGCAAUCUAAAAAAGGUUAAACCUAGGGCGGUAAGAGAUGGGCUCGCGUCCCAUUAGCUAGUUGGUGAGGUAACGGCCCACCAAGGCGACGAUGGGUAACCGGCCUGAGAGGGUGAACGGUCACAUUGGAACUGAGACACGGUCCAAACUCCUACGGGAGGCGGCAGUGGGGAAUAUUGCACAAUGGAGGGAACUCUGAUGCAGCGACGCCGCGUGAGCGAUGAAGGAAUUCGUUUCGUAAAGCUCUGUUCUAUGGGAAGAAAAGGACUGUACCAUAGGAGAAAGCCCCGGCUAAAUACGUG
RNAcentral lists this ribosomal RNA (481 nucleotides) under uncultured bacterium. RNAcentral's name for it is "partial 16S ribosomal RNA". It matches the Rfam family "Bacterial small subunit ribosomal RNA", at positions 30 to 507 of the family's 1533-position model. The record is from RNAcentral.